UACGUAGGGGGCAAGCGUUGUCCGGAAUCAUUGGGCGUAAAGAGCGUGUAGGCGGCCCGGUAAGUCCGCUGUGAAAGUCCAGGGCUCAACCCUGGGAUGCCGGUGGAUACUGUCGGGCUCGAGUCCGGAAGAGGAGUGUGGAAUUCCUGGUGUAGCGGUGAAAUGCGCAGAUAUCAGGAGGAACACCAAUGGCGAAGGCAGCUCGCUGGGACGGUACUGACGCUGAGGCGCGAAAGCAUGGGGAGCGAACAGG
Molecule: ribosomal RNA, 253 nt
Filed under: uncultured bacterium
Lineage: Bacteria
Description: partial 16S ribosomal RNA
Rfam family: Bacterial small subunit ribosomal RNA
Source: RNAcentral